RNAcentral lists this ribosomal RNA (253 nucleotides) under uncultured bacterium. Its description in RNAcentral is "partial 16S ribosomal RNA". It matches the Rfam family "Bacterial small subunit ribosomal RNA", at positions 524 to 776 of the family's 1533-position model. The record is from RNAcentral.
UACGAAGGUCCCAAGCGUUAUCCGGAUUUAUUGGGUUUAAAGGGUGCGUAGGCGGAUUAUUAAGUCAGUGGUGAAAGCCUUCAGCUUAACUGAAGAAUUGCCAUUGAUACUGAUGAUCUUGAGUAUGAUUGAGGUGGGCGGAAUGUGUCAUGUAGCGGUGAAAUGCUUAGAUAUGACACAGAACACCGAUUGCGAAGGCAGCUCACUAAGUCAUAACUGACGCUGAUGCACGAAAGCGUGGGGAGCAAACAGG